GUCACCAAGUGGUGAAAUCUAGUGAAGAGAGAGAGAAAAAAAUGUUUGGCAUAAAAAACGAGGGAGAAAAGUCUCCUCUGCUGGCAGUGACGGCGUGUCGUCCGAGGUGACAGUGACGCACUGCCUGAGGUGGCAAUGGCUUGCUUGGCGCAGUGUAGGCUAGCCUACAGGUGCACAUGCCUCCUUGUCACACGCAAGCCUACUGCACACUGGGGCUAGCAUUCGAGCUCGUAGGCCUAUUGCGCGCAGGCCCAAGGCGUACAGGGACCUAUCCGCGUAGGCCUGCUGUGCAGACAAUGCACGCACAGUGUGCGACGCUUGUCCACACAUGAGGUGAUGGACAGACAGCUUGCUUGCUAGCAUCAAGAACGCGCAAGGUUAUCCCCACACCACAAGCGUGAAUGGGACAUGCGCACACACAGUGAGCAGGCGCCCACGCGGGCAUCUCCCCUUCACUGCGGGAUUUCUCCCCUUUU
RNAcentral lists this long non-coding RNA (476 nucleotides) under Carica papaya (papaya). Its description in RNAcentral is "long non-coding RNA (CPAP_LNC005015)". The record is from RNAcentral. Lineage: Eukaryota; Viridiplantae; Streptophyta; Magnoliopsida; Brassicales; Caricaceae.